RNAcentral lists this long non-coding RNA (1400 nucleotides) under Setaria viridis. RNAcentral describes it as "long non-coding RNA (SVIR_LNC006118)". The record is from RNAcentral. Lineage: Eukaryota; Viridiplantae; Streptophyta; Magnoliopsida; Poales; Poaceae.
UCUAGACAGUAGGUACAUAGUAAAAUCUAUAAAUAUAGAAUGCUAAAACGACUUAUAAUUUGGAACGGAGAGAGUAUUUUAAAAUCUAUAAAUAUAGAAUGCUAAAACGAUUUAUAAUUUGGAACGGAGAGAGUAUUUUUUUACAGGUCACAAUGAGCCUUGCGAUGCUAAUUUUAUAAAGAUUCCAAGGAAAACAAGGGAAUCCUCUGCGAAUUCAUGGUCACAAUUUCAGAUCUUAUUGAGUCCUUGAGGAAACCUGCCAAAUAAGGUAGCGUUUGGUUGGUUAGACGAGGUUUGGUUGGUUAGAUGAGGUUGAAUGGGAUAGGUCAUCCUGGAUGGAUAGAGGAUGGAUGGGAUAAUCCUGGAUGGUGUUUGGUUGGUUGUACAUGGCAUGAUACAUUAUUUUUGUUUGGUUAGCUGAAUGGGAUGGUGCGAGUUGGUACACUUUGUUUGGUUACCUAUACGAUCCCUCCAAAUUUUUUUUGAUUUGUCCCACUUAUGUACUUUUUUUGUUACAAUAAUUUGCUAAACACGUAUGUAAUAAAUGUCGAAUAAAAUUAACACCAGUAAUAUAUAUUAUAUUAAGAGGUCCAUAUUACAAUCAGACAUUAUCCAUAGUGUUGCAUGCAUAUGGAACUACUUUAUAAUAGCUACCACACAUUGUUAUCAUACAUCAAAAGAGCAGUAACAACUGAAAGAAAGGACCUCUCUUAAGUCUUAUCAUUUUGGUGCAGGUUGUGUCAUCCUUAUAAUUUCUGUUUAGGUAGUCAAUCAUUUUCUUAUCUCUAUCCUCCAUUGGAGCAUAGGAAAUACGUUGUCUUUUCUUUUCUCAGUCUGGACUGACACAAACAAAACCACCGUACAGGGAGCUUACAAGUUUUUUCCGUCUAUAAGCUCCCUGUCCUCCAUCUACAUUACCCAGGGGAAUGCAAACAUUAAAUAAGGUUUAAUUCAGAUAAUAGAAUAUAAUCCCAUGAAGCAACACACAUGCUAUUACGUGAAGAUUGUAUCGGAGAACAGCAUUGCAUUUUGCAAUAAAAAAAUCACCAAGACCGAAUCGUAUCUCGACUGCCCAAAUAGAUAAGAAAUCCAGGAGAUAAGACCCCUUCGUAGCCGAUGAUUCAAUCCAAUUAGGUAUCAGAGAUAGGAAGGAUGGGGAGGGGUCAAUUAUCUGGGGAGUUCAUGAAGGAGCCGCUAGGAGAGAACGACCAGCACAGCAGCAGUCCGUCCGUGUGUCUCUUGCGGGAGGGAAGGUCGUGUCGCCGGAGAGGGGAAGGGGUGGGAGGCGAGCGAGAUGCAAGCGAGGCACUCGUCCUGGACGGCGCCGUUCGGUGUUUUUUCCACACGGAGGGAUACAAUAUCUAUGGAGAAUAUUCGAUGCGUCUGGACGGUUCGGUCCU